GCAGGACACGGAAAUUACAGCGACCUUCAUAACUUAGUAGCUCCAUGGCCAGCAAUUUGUGAGAGCUCUCAAGUGAGGGGCCUGCAGGCGUCCACCGCCGGGGGGUCAUCAAGGAAAACAUCUGGAAACAAAAAAAGGAAAGAGCGUGAAGAAUUCUGUGGUGUGUGAAGAGGAUAACCAUAAUCUGCAUCCACAAGCUAACUUCUCUGCCGCCGUUCGCCUGGACGAGCAGACCCAGUGAUGCUAAGCUCUCUAUUAGAGUCGUGCCUGCAAAAGGUCCCCUCAUUUGAAUAAGGCCUCUUCUGCAUGUGAAAGACUGCCAGUGAAACUGAGCAGCCCUCUAAUUAGGGUUGCACUUGGAAGCAGGGGCCUUCAGUGUUCCCUUUUUGUGAUGCUAAAUUGUCAAAUAUUUUCAAAUGCAUUGCCAUUUCCAUUAAACAUUUUUGUUCUAA
Molecule: long non-coding RNA, 452 nt
Organism: Phyllostomus hastatus (greater spear-nosed bat)
Lineage: Eukaryota; Metazoa; Chordata; Mammalia; Chiroptera; Phyllostomidae
Exons: 2
Source: RefSeq, a predicted model, not a curated record